This 846-nucleotide ribosomal RNA is filed under the name Triticum aestivum (bread wheat). RNAcentral's name for it is "partial small subunit ribosomal RNA". The record is from RNAcentral. Lineage: Eukaryota; Viridiplantae; Streptophyta; Magnoliopsida; Poales; Poaceae.
AUGGCGGAGAUUGUGAUUUUUCUAGCCAUUAAAAAGAUCAGAUUUGCCUUGGCAAAGGGAGCGGCAGACCAGGCUAGCGUGCAGUUUGCGAAGUAUGGCACACAACUACUAGAGCUACAGAGCACCAUGGGCCGUGUUGCUAGUGAGCUUCGCGUAAUUCAUGAUGUUCUUUGUCAAAUGGAUAUUCGAAACCGCAACAAUCAAGUAUAUGAGGGUUGGUUGGAAGAGAUACAGAAAGUAGCACAUGUAAUGGAGGACAUGGUGGAUGAGUACUUGUAUCUAGUUGGUCAAGAACAUGAUAUAGGUUGUUGCUUUUUCCUGAAGAAAGGGGUUAAAAAGCCAAGAUCUCUGCUUUCCUUCAACCGGUUAGCUCUCAAGGUGAAGGAAACAGAGAAACACCUCACCCACCUGUCAGAGAUAAAAAACCGAUGGGUUACCCUGAUAAAUAACGGGGAUACUAAUAGCUCAAAUUACAUUGUCAAGAGAUCCCAAGAUCUAGCAAAUAUUUCACGCUCCCUAGAUGAAGAAGAUCUAGUGGGGGUGGAUGAAAACAGACGAAAACUCGAGCAGUGGUUGGCAGGUGAUGAUUUGGAAUGCUCUGUGAUAGCUCUGCUCGGAAUGGGAGGUCUUGGUAAAACUGCUUUAGCUGCAAAUGUUUACAAGAAAGAGAGGGAUAAAUUCCAAUGUCACGCCUGGGUCUCCAUCUCUCAAACUUAUUCUAGAGAACAUGUCUUGAGGAUUAUAAUCAAGGAAGUUUUUAAAGAUAAUGCUACUAUUUUAUCUAGCACUGUGGCUAUGGACAUUGUGUGCCUUGAAGAGACACUGACAAAAUUUUUGGAGCAAUGA